AUUUCCCGGCUUUCCGGACCUGGAGAGCUGUAUUCCCGCGGGGGUUCGACUGGGCGCGCGAUCCAGUUGACUUACUCCAAGGCGCCAGAUCCCGCGAGAGCAGGAGCUUGAAGUUCCCCUAAGGCAAGAGCCGAGUGUUAAGACUUAGCUUUUGGGGAAGGAACGCGGACCCACGAAGGACUGGGUUAAGUAUUGUUACCGGAGGAAAAAAAAAAACCUGUACGGCUUGGCUUCCAAAUCGCAUGUGGGUAUGCAGUUUCUUUUAGCUUUCUGUGGAUCAUUCUCGUUUGCUUACAGUUAAAUGGCUUCCAUUGGCAUGAAUGUAUAUUGCCCAACUGGUUGUGUCGUGACUAUAAAUAAAGCGAAAGCCUGGAUAAA
This is a long non-coding RNA of Mustela lutreola (European mink), 378 nucleotides long. RefSeq lists it as uncharacterized. The record is from RefSeq and is a predicted model, not a curated record. The transcript has 2 exons. Lineage: Eukaryota; Metazoa; Chordata; Mammalia; Carnivora; Mustelidae.